UGGGGAAUAUUGCACAAUGGGCGCAAGCCUGAUGCAGCCAUGCCGCGUGUGUGAAGAAGGCCUUCGGUUGUAAAGCACUUUCAGCGAGGAGGAAGGUGGUGAGCUUAAUACGCUCAUCAAUUGACGUUACUCGCAGAAGAAGCACCGGCUAACUCCGUGCCAGCAGCCGCGGUAAUACGGAGGGUGCAAGCGUUAAUCGGAAUUACUGGGCGUAAAGCGCACGCAGGCGGUUUGUUAAGUCAGAUGUGAAAUCCCCGGGCUCAACCUGGGAACUGCAUUUGAAACUGGCAAGCUAGAGUCUCGUAGAGGGGGGUAGAAUUCCAGGUGUAGCGGUGAAAUGCGUAGAGAUCUGGAGGAAUACCGGUGGCGAAGGCGGCCCCCUGGACGAAGACUGACGCUCAGGUGCGAAAGCGUGGGGCAGCAAACAGGAUUAGAUACCCUGGUAGUCCAGCGCUGUAAACGAUGUCGAUUUUGGAGGUUGUGCCCUUGAGGCGUGGCUUCCGGAGCUAACGCGUU
This 516-nucleotide ribosomal RNA is filed under the name uncultured bacterium. Its description in RNAcentral is "partial 16S ribosomal RNA". It matches the Rfam family "Bacterial small subunit ribosomal RNA", at positions 355 to 861 of the family's 1533-position model. The record is from RNAcentral.